GAUCAUGGCUCAGAUUGAACGCUGGCGGCAUGCUUUACACAUGCAAGUCGAACGGCAGCAUGGGGGGCAACCCUGAUUGCGAGUGGCGAACGGGUGAGUAAUAUAUCGGAACGUACCCGAGAGUGGGGGACAACCAGUCGAAAGAUUGGCUAAUACCGCAUACGAUCUACGGAUGAAAGUGGGGGGACCUUCGGGCCUCACGCUCCUGGAGCGGGCCGAUAGCUGAUUAGCUAGUUGGG
This 239-nucleotide ribosomal RNA is filed under the name uncultured bacterium. Its description in RNAcentral is "partial 16S ribosomal RNA". It matches the Rfam family "Bacterial small subunit ribosomal RNA", at positions 15 to 253 of the family's 1533-position model. The record is from RNAcentral.